ACAAAACGCAACUUUGGGUCAAAAGUUGCGUUUUAAAAAACGCCCUAAACGCGCAUCAGUCCUUAUGCGAAGCAUCAGGUCCAUUUUCCAAAAGUCCUUGGGCGUUUUGGGGUAUCCGUUGGGGUGAGCAGGCAAUUACGAAAUUACCCUUCAAAUGCUCAUGUCUUCAGAGAUCGCACAGGCACUUCAUUUCACUUUGGGUCUCUCUGCUCUGCGCAAGCUCCUUCGUUCCUCUCAUCUCUGUGCUGCUACAAGUAACAACUUUCCGCGCGUAGAGUUUUGAUCAAAAAAACCCCAAGCAACACGGAUCUGCUACCCAAAGCCACCAGAUGGGUAAAAAGACUACUUCCAACUCUGAGGUAAAAAAGGCUAGAGCAGACUGGGAUAUUAAUCCAACGUGGACAACUACCUUUUGUAACAUUUGUGUGGAACAAAUUCAAGCCGGGAAUAGAACAAAAGGUGCUGGCU
Quercus robur (English oak) is the source of this 468-nucleotide long non-coding RNA. RefSeq lists it as uncharacterized. NCBI's taxonomy places the organism in Eukaryota, Viridiplantae, Streptophyta, Magnoliopsida, Fagales, Fagaceae. The transcript is spliced from 3 exons. The record is from RefSeq and is a predicted model, not a curated record.